Long non-coding RNA from Oncorhynchus tshawytscha (Chinook salmon), 3330 nucleotides. Lineage: Eukaryota; Metazoa; Chordata; Actinopteri; Salmoniformes; Salmonidae. The record is from Ensembl.
GUUUCCUAAUGACCAGGAAUAGAGUGAUGUAGUAUCUCUGCUCUAGUCCAGAGGUUUCCUAAUGACCAGGAAUAGAGUGAUGUAGUAUCUCUGCUCUAGUCCAGAGGUUUCCUAAUGACCAGGGAUAGAGUGAUGUAGUAUCUCUGCUCUAGUCCAGAGGUUUCCUAAUGACCAGGGACAGAGUGAUGUAGUAUCUCUGCUCUAGUCCAGAGGUUUCCUAAUGACCAGGGAUAGAGUGAUGUAGUAUCUCUUCUCUAGUCCAGAGGUUUCCUAAUGACCAGGGAUAGAGUGAUGUAGUAUCUCUGCUCUAGUCCAGAGGUUUCCUAAAGGACCAGGGAUAGGGUGAUGCUUAAUCAAAUCAAAUGUUAUUUGUCACAGCAGGUUUGUUUUUUGUUUUUAAAAUUGUUAAUUUUACCCCCUUUUCAUGGUGUCCAAUUGGUAGUUACAGCCUUGUCUUAUUGCUGCAACUCCCGUACGUACUUGGGAGAGGCGAAGGUUGAGAGCCAUGCGUCCUCCGAAACACGACCCAACCAAGCCGCACAGCUUCUUGACAUGAUGCCUGCUUAACCCAGAAGCCAGCCACUCCAUUGUGUCGGAGGAAAGGCCGUACUGUGUCAGUGUGCUAGCACUCGGCCCGCCACAGGAGUCGCUAGAGCACGAUGGGACAAGGACAUCCCUGCCGGCCAAACCCUCCUCUAACCUAGACGCCGCUGGGCCAAUUGGGUGCCGCCCUAUGGGUCUCCUGGUCGCGGCCAUCUGCGACAGAGCCCGGACUCGAACCAGGAUCUCUAGUGGCACAGCUAGCAACUGUGAUGCAGCGCCUUAGACCACCGCACCACUCGGGAGGUCAACAACAACCUUACAGUGAAAUGCUUACUUAGAAGCCCUUAACCAACAAUGUAGUUUUAAGAGAAAUAAGUGUUAAUUAAGUAAAAAAUAGAUAAGUAAAACAUGUAAGUAAGAAAUAAUUAAAGAGCAGCCUGUAAAAUAACAAUAGCGAGGCUACAUACAGGGGGUACCGGUCAAUGUGCAGGGGCACCGGUUAGUCGAGGUUAUUGAGGUAAUAUGUACAUGUAGGUAGAGUUAAAGUGACUAUGCAUAGAUAAUGACAGAGUAGCAGCAGCGUAGAGGGGGGGGGGCAAAGCAAAUAGUCUGGGUAGCCAUUUGAUUAGCUGUUCAGGAGUCUUAUGGUUUGGUGUUUGAAGCUGUUAAGAAGCCUUUUGGACCUAGACCAGCGCGCCGGUAAACGCUUGCCGUGCGGUAGCAGAGAAAACAGUCUAUGACUAGGGCCUUCCUCUGACACCACCUGGUAUAGAGGUCCUGGAUGGCAGGAAGCUUGGCCCCAGUGGUGUACUGGACCGUACGCACUACCCUCUGUAGUGCCUUGCGGUCGGAGCCCGAGCAGUUGCCGUACCAGGCAGUGAUGCAACCGGUCAGGAUGCUCUCGAGGGUGCAGCUGUAGAACUUUUUGAGGAUCUGAGAACACAUGACAAAUCUUUUCAGUCUCCUGAGAGGGUAUAGGUUUCUGGGAUAAUGGUGUUGAUGUGAGCCGUGACCUGCCUUACAAAGCACAACAUGGCUACAGACGUGAGUGCUACGGGUCGGUAGUCAUUUAGGCAGGUUACCUUGUGUUCUUGGGCACAGGGACUAUGGUGGUCUGCGUGAAACAUGUAUUACAGACUAAGACAGGGACAGGUUGAAACUUGGCAGUUGGUCAACGCAUGCUUGGAGUACACGUCCUGGUAAUCCGUCUGGCCCUGCAGCCUUGUAGGUGUUUACCUGUUUAAAGGUCUUGCACACAUCGGCUGCGGAGAGAGUGAUCACACAGUCGUCCGGAACAGCUGAUGCUCUCAUGCUUGAUGCAGUGUUACUUGCCUGGAAGCGAGCAUAGAAGUGAUUUAGCUCAUCUGGUAGGCUCGUGUCACUGGGCAGCUCUCGGCUGUGCUUCCCUUUGUAGUCUGUAAUGGUUUACAAGCCCUGCCACAUCUGACGAGCAUCAGAGCCGGUGUAGUACGAUUCAAUCUUAGUCCUGUAUUGAUGCUUUGCCUGUUUGAUGGUUCGUCGGAGGGCAUAGGGGGAUUUCUUAUAAGCUUCCGGGUUACAGUUCGGCACCUUGAAAGCGGCAGCUCUACCCUUUAGCACAGUGCGAAUAUUGCCUGUAAUCCAUGGCUUCUGGUUGGGGUAUGUACGUACAGUCACUGGGUGGACGACGUCAUCGCUGCACCCAUUGAUGAAGCCAGUGACUAAUGUGGAGUAAUCCUCUAUGCCAUUGGAAGAAUGGCACAGAUUCCAGUGUGUGCUAGCAAACCAGUCUUGUUGUAACGCGAUUCGUCCUCCUCUGACGAGGAGUAUGAGAGAUCGGACCAAUGUGCAGCGUCGUAAGUGUUCAUCAUUUUUAAUGAAAAGUCACUGAACACGAAAAAUACAAAAUAACCAAGUGAAAGACAGAAACUAAAAAAACAAAACCGUUCUGUCUGGUGAAGACACAGAGACAGAAAACAAUCACCCACAACUAAAAUGGGGAAAACAGGCUACCUAAGUAUGAUUCUCAAUCAGAGACAACGAACCACACCUGCCUCUGAUUGAGAACCAUACCAGGCCAAACACACUCACGCCCUGACCAAACUAAAACAAAGACAUAAUAAAGGAACUAAGGUCAGAACGUGACACCUGUAGUUUAGCAUCUGCUUCACUUCCUUAUUGACCGAGUCACUGGAGCUUCCUGCUUUAGUUUUUGCUUGUAAGCAGGAAUCAGGAGGAUAGAAUUAUGGUCAGAUUUAUCAAAUGGAGGGCGAGGGAGAGCUUCGUACGCGCCUCUGUGUCUGGAGUAAAGGUGGUAGACUUUUUUUCCCCUUUGGUUGCACAUUUAACAUGCUGUGGUGUAGUCCUGACCCCUCCUGUCUCAGCCUCCAGUAUUUAUGCUGCAGUAGUUUAUGUGUCGGGGGCCUAGGGUCAGUUUGUUAUAUCUGGAGUACCUCUCCUGUCCUAUUCGGUGUCCUGUGUGAAUCUAAGUGUGCGUUCUCUAAUUCUCUCUUUCUCUCGGAGGACCUGAGCCCUAGGACCAUGCCCCAGGACUACCUGACAUGAUGACUCCUUGCUGUCCGCAGUCCACCUGGCCGUGCUGCUGCUCCAGUUUCAACUGUUCUGCCUAAUUAUUAUACGACCAUGCUGGUCAUUUAUGAACAUUUGAACAUCUUGGCCAUGUUCUGUUAUAAUCUCCACCCGGCACAGCCAGAAGAGGACUGGCCACCCCACAUAGCCUGGUUCCUCUCUAGGUUUCUUCCUAGGUUUUGGCCUUUCUAGGGAGUUUUUCCUAGCCACCGUGCUUCU